GACGAACGCUGGCGGCGUGCCUAAUACAUGCAAGUAGAACGCUGAAGGAGGAGCUUGCUUCUCUGGAUGAGUUGCGAACGGGUGAGUAACGCGUAGGUAACCUGCCUGGUAGCGGGGGAUAACUAUUGGAAACGAUAGCUAAUACCGCAUAAGAGUAGGUGUUGCAUGACAUUUGCUUAAAAGGUGCAAUUGCAUCACUACCAGAUGGACCUGCGUUGUAUUAGCUAGUUGGUGGGGUAACGGCUCACCAAGGCGACGAUACAUAGCCGACCUGAGAGGGUGAUCGGCCACACUGGGACUGAGACACGGCCCAGACUCCUACGGGAGGCAGCAGUAGGGAAUCUUCGGCAAUGGACGGAAGUCUGACCGAGCAACGCCGCGUGAGUGAAGAAGGGUUUCGGAUCGUAAAGCUCGGUUGUAAGAGAAGAACGAGUGUGAGAGUGGAAAGUUCACACUGUGACGGUAUCUUACCAGAAAGGGACGGCUAACUACGUG
This 495-nucleotide ribosomal RNA is filed under the name uncultured bacterium. RNAcentral describes it as "partial 16S ribosomal RNA". It matches the Rfam family "Bacterial small subunit ribosomal RNA", at positions 28 to 507 of the family's 1533-position model. The record is from RNAcentral.